GCUUUGUGUCUCUGCCUUGGAAAGGUGAUUGCUUCAACUUAUUUUGGUAAUUCAAUAUUCAUUUUGGUGAAAUGAAAUUCAAUUCUCUGGGUUGGUGUUUCUGGAAAAUGCGUCUGUUUGUUGUUGAUUCUAUUCGUCUUGUGUAUUAGUGGACUAAUAGAUGGAACAGGCUUUGCAAGAAGUAUUGAGAAUUACUUGAAGGUUGGUUUGAGGUUUCAUGUGAGGCUGAUGAGUUCAGUUAUAUAGGUUGCUCAGAAUGCUUUACUAUAGACUUUUAGGUAGGGUGAUACAAGAUAUUUUCACUUAUAUUUUCUGCUUGAUAAAAUUUUUUUCACAUCCUUUCUGCAAAUAGUCAAA
RNAcentral lists this unclassified non-coding RNA (357 nucleotides) under Hevea brasiliensis (rubber tree). The record is from RNAcentral. Lineage: Eukaryota; Viridiplantae; Streptophyta; Magnoliopsida; Malpighiales; Euphorbiaceae.